RNAcentral lists this ribosomal RNA (253 nucleotides) under uncultured bacterium. Its description in RNAcentral is "partial 16S ribosomal RNA". It matches the Rfam family "Bacterial small subunit ribosomal RNA", at positions 524 to 776 of the family's 1533-position model. The record is from RNAcentral.
UACAGGGGGGGCAAGCGUUGUUCGGAAUUACUGGGCGUAAAGGGCUCGUAGGUGGCCGACUCAGUCAGACGUGAAAUCCCUCAGCUUAACUGGGGAACUGCGUCUGAUACUGGAUGGCUUGAGAUUGGGAGAGGGAUGCGGAAUUCCAGGUGUAGCGGUGAAAUGCGUAGAUAUCUGGAGGAACACCGGUGGCGAAGGCGGCAUCCUGGACCAACACUGACACUGAGGAGCGAAAGCCAGGGGAGCAAACAGG